GACGAACGCUGGCGGCGUGCUUAACACAUGCAAGUCGAACGGAAAGGCCCUGCUUGCAGGGUACUCUAGUGGCGAACGGGUGAGUAACACGUGGGUGAUCUGCCCUGCACUUCGUGAUAAGCCUUGGAAACUGUGUCUAAUACCGGAUAUGAGCCAUUUUUAGUGUGAUUGUUGGAAAGUUUUUUGGGUGUAGGAUGAGCUCGCGGCCUAUCAGCUUGUUGGUGGGGUGAGUGGCUACCAAGGCGGCGUCGGGUAGCCGGCCUGGGGGGGUGGACGGCCAAAUUGGGAAUGAGAUACGGGCCAGACUCCUAAGGGGGGCCGGAGGGGGGAAUAUUGCACAAUGGGCGCAAGCCUGAUGCAGCGACGCCGCGUGGGGGAUGACGGCCUUCGGGUUGGAAACUCCUUUCGCUAGGGAAGAAGCUUUUUGUGACGGUACCUAGAUAAGAAGCACCGGCUAACUACGUG
Molecule: ribosomal RNA, 465 nt
Filed under: uncultured bacterium
Lineage: Bacteria
Description: partial 16S ribosomal RNA
Rfam family: Bacterial small subunit ribosomal RNA
Source: RNAcentral